Molecule: unclassified non-coding RNA, 153 nt
Filed under: soil metagenome
Description: partial internal transcribed spacer 1
Source: RNAcentral
GUGAUUAAUCGAGCGUGUCUUCAUUGACCGCUCACCCUUCUCACCAUCCACAUACACAUGUGCACUGUUUUAGCCUGAGCCGGUUUUCCGGUCCAGGUUAUCAUUUCAUACAAACUCUAGUCUUAUGAAUGUAAACGUUUUAAUAACAUAAUA